Oncorhynchus gorbuscha (pink salmon) is the source of this 816-nucleotide long non-coding RNA. RefSeq lists it as uncharacterized. The transcript has 3 exons. The record is from RefSeq and is a predicted model, not a curated record. NCBI's taxonomy places the organism in Eukaryota, Metazoa, Chordata, Actinopteri, Salmoniformes, Salmonidae.
AGCAUUGGAGACAAAUUGUUUCCACGUAAUUUGUCAACGUAUUGGGAUUUGUAAUCUAUAUGGAAAAUACAUUGGAUUUGAAGAAAGUCAUCAACGUAAACUGUUGCUUUGAGGAUAACUCAUUUCAAACACAGGAUUAUGUCAUGGUGACAAACUGGAAUUAAAGCCAGGCUCAGGGGCACAGAUGGAGCUAUCCAAUCAGAAGAUACAUCUCCUUCAAAUGUUUAUAUUUGGUUGCGCUAACAACCAAACACAAUUCAGCAGCUGAUCAUCUGCAGCUGGCUCUGAUCGUAGUGUAAUGAAACAGGCAGAGAGAGAGUGAGACCGUCCGUGGUGGUCGGCGAACCCUCUACCUUAGCAAUCAACUGCGCCACAAAAGCAUGCUGGUAGUGGUAAAGUCGAUAUCCACGCUUAUAAACACAGGGUCGCUACAGUUAUUUAUGGUCGUAAACAUUUUGUGUGCAACCUAUUUUACAGUACAAGGGGAGGUACAAGGGGAGGUACCUGGUACCCCCCCCCCCCCAGUAAUUUUCUACCUGUCCCUUAAUGACAUGCUACAGUGAGCAACUUUCAUACUUUUCAUGAUGUUCUUCAUACAUGUAUUACCAAACAUUACUACGUGACUGUAUUUACUUAUUACUCCAUAGGUUACUCCUUUAUAGUUAUGCAUCGGUAAUGUGAAGUGUUUCCAAACAGAUGUAUUGACCAUGUCAUUUGUACUGAAAGUCGGGGUGCAUACAGUGGUUUGUUUCUCUGCUUACCUUGUCUGAGCAAGAGACGGUUUUCAUCCUAUUCAAUGUCAUUUUUCUGGACUCG